RNAcentral lists this unclassified non-coding RNA (23 nucleotides) under Mus musculus (house mouse). Its description in RNAcentral is "oocyte_clustered_small_RNA10214". Lineage: Eukaryota; Metazoa; Chordata; Mammalia; Rodentia; Muridae. The record is from RNAcentral.
UUUUGUCUCCCUAGCUUUAUGAA